RNAcentral lists this long non-coding RNA (576 nucleotides) under Felis catus (domestic cat). Its description in RNAcentral is "lncRNA (ENSFCAG00000047026.1)". The record is from RNAcentral. Lineage: Eukaryota; Metazoa; Chordata; Mammalia; Carnivora; Felidae.
ACUAUUUCAUAAAGAGAAGAACUCAGAAAGUGGAUUCAGGAAACACAGGAAGAGGAGUCCUGGAGUAUCUCUAGAAAUUUCUCGGUAAAAUCCACAGGACCAGUAUCUGCCACAAUAAGAUGGGCGGCAGCAGCUGUAUCCAUACCCACCGGAGACAGAGCCACGGCCACAGCCAGAACCACAGCCAAGGCCGCCACAGUAGUUACUGUAGUAGCAGCACAAGGUGCCAGCAAUUAAAGGUUCCGUUGAUGGUGGGAACCAGUGUCCUCAAUCCGAAUGCCACCGUCUUCCAGGGCUUUUAUGUAUCUUCAGUGAUGGCUAGAGCAAACCACAGUGGAUUGACAUCCUCUACAGAAAGAUGUUCAGUAACAGCGGCAGUUACAGAAAUCCUUGCCUUAUUUCAGUGUUCAUUCCUGAAGUAUACACAUGCUUUUAACAUUGACGAUAAAACUUAAUAGUACACUUAAGCUGAAGCAAUCAUCUUGAACAAUAUAGAGAUAAAGAAUGGUUAGUUUUCCUAUAACAAAAUGUUCAUGGAGUUAUUUAAUAAUAAAAGUUAUGUCUCUAUCUUUUUCA